GAUGAAGAACGUAGCGAAAUGCGAUAAGUAAUGUGAAUUGCAGAAUUCAGUGAAUCAUCGAAUCUUUGAACGCACCUUGCGCCCCUUGGUAUUCCGAGGAGCAUGCCUGUUUGAGUGUCAUGAAACCCUCAAACCCAAGUUUUGGAUUUCGAUCCAUGCUUGAGUUUGGAUUUGGAUGUUUGCCGGUGAUGAACCGACUCAUCUUAAAAGUAUUAGCUUGGAUCUGUCUAUAUGACUGGUUUGACUUGGCAUAAUAAGUAUUUUGCUGAGGACAUCUUCGGAUGGCCAGGACCUAGACUACUGUCUGCUAACUAAACCAUCACUUUAAGUACAUCUUUGGAUGUUACUCAUUGUGUAACUUUGACAUCUGGCCUCAAAUCAAGUAGGACUACCCGCUGAACUUAAGCAUAUCAAUAAGCGGAGGA
This 425-nucleotide unclassified non-coding RNA is filed under the name soil metagenome. RNAcentral's name for it is "partial contains 5.8S ribosomal RNA, internal transcribed spacer 2, and large subunit ribosomal RNA". The stretch from base 1 to 120 matches the Rfam family "5.8S ribosomal RNA", at positions 35 to 154 of the family's 154-position model. The record is from RNAcentral.